Molecule: non-coding RNA, 148 nt
Filed under: Pan paniscus (pygmy chimpanzee)
Lineage: Eukaryota; Metazoa; Chordata; Mammalia; Primates; Hominidae
Also listed under: 1 other name
Source: Rfam by way of RNAcentral
GCCAGGCAUGGUGGUGCAUGCCUGUAAUCCCAGCUACUUGGGAGGCUGAGACAGGAGAAUUGCUUGAACCCGGGAGGUGGAAGUUGCAGUGAACCAAGAUCAUGCCUCUGCACUCCAGCCUGGGUGACAGAGCGAGACCCUAUCUCAA